CACGGUGGAUGCCCUGGCAGUCAGAGGCGAUGAAGGACGUGCUAAUCUGCGAUAAGCGUCGGUAAGGUGAUAUGAACCGUUAUAACCGGCGAUUUCCGAAUGGGGAAACCCAGUGUGUUUCGACACACUAUCAUUAACUGAAUCCAUAGGUUAAUGAGGCGAACCGGGGGAACUGAAACAUCUAAGUACCCCGAGGAAAAGAAAUCAACCGAGAUUCCCCCAGUAGCGGCGAGCGAACGGGGAGGAGCCCAGAGCCUGAAUCAGUGUGUGUGUUAGUGGAAGCGUCUGGAAAGGCGCGCGAUACAGGGUGACAGCCCCGUACACAAAAAUGCACAUACUGUGAGCUCGAUGAGUAGGGCGGGACACGUGGUAUCCUGUCUGAAUAUGGGGGGACCAUCCUCCAAGGCUAAAUACUCCUGACUGACCGAUAGUGAACCAGUACCGUGAGGGAAAGGCGAAAAGAACCCCGGCGAGGGGAGUGAAAAAGAACCUGAAACCGUGUACGUACAAGCAGUGGGAGCCUCUUUUAUGGGGUGACUGCGUACCUUUUGUAUAAUGGGUCAGCGACUUAUAUUCUGUAGCAAGGUUAACCGAAUAGGGGAGCCGAAGGGAAACCGAGUCUUAACUGGGCGUUAAGUUGCAGGGUAUAGACCCGAAACCCGGUGAUCUAGCCAUGGGCAGGUUGAAGGUUGGGUAACACUAACUGGAGGACCGAACCGACUAAUGUUGAAAAAUUAGCGGAUGACUUGUGGCUGGGGGUGAAAGGCCAAUCAAACCGGGAGAUAGCUGGUUCUCCCCGAAAGCUAUUUAGGUAGCGCCUCGUGAAUUCAUCUCCGGGGGUAGAGCACUGUUUCGGCAAGGGGGUCAUCCCGACUUACCAACCCGAUGCAAACUGCGAAUACCGGAGAAUGUUAUCACGGGAGACACACGGCGGGUGCUAACGUCCGUCGUGAAGAGGGAAACAACCCAGACCGCCAGCUAAGGUCCCAAAGUCAUGGUUAAGUGGGAAACGAUGUGGGAAGGCCCAGACAGCCAGGAUGUUGGCUUAGAAGCAGCCAUCAUUUAAAGAAAGCGUAAUAGCUCACUGGUCGAGUCGGCCUGCGCGGAAGAUGUAACGGGGCUAAACCAUGCACCGAAGCUGCGGCAGCGACGCUUAUGCGUUGUUGGGUAGGGGAGCGUUCUGUAAGCCUGUGAAGGUGUACUGUGAGGUAUGCUGGAGGUAUCAGAAGUGCGAAUGCUGACAUAAGUAACGAUAAAGCGGGUGAAAAGCCCGCUCGCCGGAAGACCAAGGGUUCCUGUCCAACGUUAAUCGGGGCAGGGUGAGUCGACCCCUAAGGCGAGGCCGAAAGGCGUAGUCGAUGGGAAACAGGUUAAUAUUCCUGUACUUGGUGUUACUGCGAAGGGGGGACGGAGAAGGCUAUGUUGGCCGGGCGACGGUUGUCCCGGUUUAAGCGUGUAGGCUGGUUUUCCAGGCAAAUCCGGAAAAUCAAGGCUGAGGCGUGAUGACGAGGCACUACGGUGCUGAAGCAACAAAUGCCCUGCUUCCAGGAAAAGCCUCUAAGCAUCAGGUAACAUCAAAUCGUACCCCAAACCGACACAGGUGGUCAGGUAGAGAAUACCAAGGCGCUUGAGAGAACUCGGGUGAAGGAACUAGGCAAAAUGGUGCCGUAACUUCGGGAGAAGGCACGCUGAUAUGUAGGUGAAGCGACUUGCUCGUGGAGCUGAAAUCAGUCGAAGAUACCAGCUGGCUGCAACUGUUUAUUAAAAACACAGCACUGUGCAAACACGAAAGUGGACGUAUACGGUGUGACGCCUGCCCGGUGCCGGAAGGUUAAUUGAUGGGGUUAGCGGUAACGCGAAGCUCUUGAUCGAAGCCCCGGUAAACGGCGGCCGUAACUAUAACGGUCCUAAGGUAGCGAAAUUCCUUGUCGGGUAAGUUCCGACCUGCACGAAUGGCGUAAUGAUGGCCAGGCUGUCUCCACCCGAGACUCAGUGAAAUUGAACUCGCUGUGAAGAUGCAGUGUACCCGCGGCAAGACGGAAAGACCCCGUGAACCUUUACUAUAGCUUGACACUGAACAUUGAGCCUUGAUGUGUAGGAUAGGUGGGAGGCUUUGAAGUGUGGACGCCAGUCUGCAUGGAGCCGGCCUUGAAAUACCACCCUUUAAUGUUUGAUGUUCUAACGUUGGCCCCUGAUCGGGGUUGCGGACAGUGUCUGGUGGGUAGUUUGACUGGGGCGGUCUCCUCCUAAAGAGUAACGGAGGAGCACGAAGGUUGGCUAAUCCUGGUCGGACAUCAGGAGGUUAGUGCAAUGGCAUAAGCCAGCUUGACUGCGAGCGUGACGGCGCGAGCAGGUGCGAAAGCAGGUCAUAGUGAUCCGGUGGUUCUGAAUGGAAGGGCCAUCGCUCAACGGAUAAAAGGUACUCCGGGGAUAACAGGCUGAUACCGCCCAAGAGUUCAUAUCGACGGCGGUGUUUGGCACCUCGAUGUCGGCUCAUCACAUCCUGGGGCUGAAGUAGGUCCCAAGGGUAUGGCUGUUCGCCAUUUAAAGUGGUACGCGAGCUGGGUUUAGAACGUCGUGAGACAGUUCGGUCCCUAUCUGCCGUGGGCGCUGGAGAACUGAGGGGGGCUGCUCCUAGUACGAGAGGACCGGAGUGGACGCAUCACUGGUGUUCGGGUUGUCAUGCCAAUGGCACUGCCCGGUAGCUAAAUGCGGAAGAGAUAAGUGCUGAAAGCAUCUAAGCACGAAACUUGCCCCGAGAUGAGUUCUCCCUGAGACUUUAAGUCUCCUGAAGGAACGUUGAAGACGACGACGUUGAUAGGCCGGGUGUGUAAGCGCAGCGAUGCGUUGAGCUAACCGGUACUAAUGAACCGUGAGG
Molecule: ribosomal RNA, 2878 nt
Filed under: Escherichia coli
Lineage: Bacteria; Pseudomonadati; Pseudomonadota; Gammaproteobacteria; Enterobacterales; Enterobacteriaceae
Description: partial 23S ribosomal RNA
Rfam family: Bacterial large subunit ribosomal RNA
Source: RNAcentral